RNAcentral lists this ribosomal RNA (688 nucleotides) under uncultured bacterium. RNAcentral's name for it is "bacterial SSU rRNA". It matches the Rfam family "Bacterial small subunit ribosomal RNA", at positions 8 to 687 of the family's 1533-position model. The record is from RNAcentral.
AGAGUUUGAUCAUGGCUCAGAUUGAACGCUGGCGGCAUGCAUUAUACAUGCAAGUCGAGCGGUACCAAAGGAGCUUGCUCCUGGUGGCGAGUGGCGAACGGGUGCGUAAUACAUCGGAACGUACCCAGGAGUGGGGGAUAACGCGGCGAAAGAAACGCUAAUACCGCAUAUCUGUGUGAGCAAGAAAGCGGGGGAUCGCAAGCGCUCCCGCUCCUGGACCGGCCGAUGUCAGAUUAGCUAGUUGGUGAGGUAACGGCUCACCAAGGCGACGAUCGGUAGCAGGUUUGAGAGGAUGAUCCGCCACACUGGAACUGAGACACGGCCCAGACUCCUACGGGAGGCAGCAGUUGGGAAUUUUGGACAAUGGGGGCAACCCUGAUCCAGCCAUGCCGCGUGAUUGAAGAAGGCCUUCGGGUUGUAAAGCUCUUUCCGCAGGGGAAGAAAUAGGAACGACUAAUAUCCGUUGUUGAUGACGGUACUCGCAUAAGAAGCACCGGCUAACUCCGUGCCAGCAGCCGCGGUAAUACGUAGGGUCCGAGCGUUAAUCGGAAUUACUGGGCGUAAAGCGUGCGCAGGCGGUUUCGUAAGACAGACGUGAAAUCCCCGGGCUCAACCUGGGAACUGCGUUUGUGACUGCGAGGCUAGAGUACGGCAGAGGGGGGUAGAAUUCAACGUGUAGCAGUGAAAU